RNAcentral lists this ribosomal RNA (807 nucleotides) under uncultured Streptococcus sp. Its description in RNAcentral is "bacterial SSU rRNA". It matches the Rfam family "Bacterial small subunit ribosomal RNA", at positions 8 to 798 of the family's 1533-position model. The record is from RNAcentral. Lineage: Bacteria; Bacillati; Bacillota; Bacilli; Lactobacillales; Streptococcaceae.
AGAGUUUGAUCCUGGCUCAGGACGAACGCUGGCGGCGUGCCUAAUACAUGCAAGUAGAACGCUGAAGAGAGGAGCUUGCUCUUCUUGGAUGAGUUGCGAACGGGUGAGUAACGCGUAGGUAACCUGCCUUGUAGCGGGGGGUAACUAUUGGAAACGAUAGCUAAUACCGCAUAACAAUGGAUGACACAUGUCAUUUAUUUGAAAGGGGCAAUUGCUCCACUACAAGAUGGACCUGCGUUGUAUUAGCUAGUAGGUGAGGUAACGGCUCACCUAGGCGACGAUACAUAGCCGACCUGAGAGGGUGAUCGGCCACACUGGGACUGAGACACGGCCCAGACUCCUACGGGAGGCAGCAGUAGGGAAUCUUCGGCAAUGGGGGCAACCCUGACCGAGCAACGCCGCGUGAGUGAAGAAGGUUUUCGGAUCGUAAAGCUCUGUUGUAAGUCAAGAACGAGUGUGAGAGUGGAAAGUUCACACUGUGACGGUAGCUUACCAGAAAGGGACGGCUAACUACGUGCCAGCAGCCGCGGUAAUACGUAGGUCCCGAGCGUUGUCCGGAUUUAUUGGGCGUAAAGCGAGCGCAGGCGGUUUGAUAAGUCUGAAGUUAAAGGCUGUGGCUCAACCAUAGUUCGCUUUGGAAACUGUCAGACUUGAGUGCAGAAGGGGAGAGUGGAAUUCCAUGUGUAGCGGUGAAAUGCGUAGAUAUAUGGAGGAACACCGGUGGCGAAAGCGGCUCUCUGGUCUGUAACUGACGCUGAGGCUCGAAAGCGUGGGGAGCGAACAGGAUUAGAUACCCUGGUAGUCCAC